AGACGCUCCCGCGGGUCCGCCCUAGGCGCUGGGCUCCAGGGAUCGGCUCCGACUGCUGCAGUUCGGGCCUUAUUUUAGGGUGAAGCCCGGGCAGCCGACCCGGCUGCGCCGUAGUGGGAGGCCACGGCGAUUACCCAGGUGAAGGUCUUCCAGCCCAGCCCUGGAAGGUGGAAAAAGAAAAGUUGACAUGGAAUGUUUAGGAAGCACCAUUGGUCCAGGUCCAGGAUCGGGGCAGCCAGCAUGUCCUCUAAUCUGGCUUCACUGUUGAAAUCCAGUCGAGCAAGCAGGGCCCAAACCACU
RNAcentral lists this long non-coding RNA (300 nucleotides) under Homo sapiens (human). RNAcentral's name for it is "HSALNT0235530". The record is from RNAcentral. Lineage: Eukaryota; Metazoa; Chordata; Mammalia; Primates; Hominidae.